This 403-nucleotide ribosomal RNA is filed under the name Verrucomicrobiota bacterium. RNAcentral's name for it is "Verrucomicrobia bacterium partial 16S ribosomal RNA". It matches the Rfam family "Bacterial small subunit ribosomal RNA", at positions 355 to 776 of the family's 1533-position model. The record is from RNAcentral. Lineage: Bacteria; Pseudomonadati; Verrucomicrobiota.
UGGGGAAUAUUGCACAAUGGGGGAAACCCUGAUGCAGCGACGCCGCGUGAGCGAAGAAGGUUUUCGAAUCGUAAAGCUCUGUCCUAUGAGAAGAUAAUGACGGUAUCAUAGGAGGAAGCCCCGGCUAAAUACGUGCCAGCAGCCGCGGUAAUACGUAUGGGGCGAGCGUUGUCCGGAAUUAUUGGGCGUAAAGGGUACGUAGGCGGUCUAUUAAGUCAGGUGUGAAAGCGUGAGGCUUAACCUCAUUAAGCACUUGAAACUGAUAGACUUGAGUGAAGGAGAGGAAAGUGGAAUUCCUAGUGUAGCGGUGAAAUGCGUAGAUAUUGGGAGGAAUACCGGUGGCGAAGGCGACUUUCUGGACUUUUACUGACGCUCAGGUACGAAAGCGUGGGGAGCAAACAGG